This 209-nucleotide ribosomal RNA is filed under the name uncultured bacterium. RNAcentral's name for it is "partial 16S ribosomal RNA". It matches the Rfam family "Bacterial small subunit ribosomal RNA", at positions 568 to 774 of the family's 1533-position model. The record is from RNAcentral.
CGCGUAGGCGGUUCGGUAAGUCCUGUGUGAAAUCCCUCGGCUCAACUGAGGAACUGCACGGGAGACUGCCAGGCUUGAGUUCGGGAGAGGGAAGCGGAAUUCCGGGUGUAGCGGUGAAAUGCGUAGAUAUCCGGAGGAACACCGGUGGCGAAGGCGGCUUCCUGGACCGACACUGACGCUGAGGCGCGAAAGCUAGGGGAAGGCAAACG